AGCGAACGCUGGCGGCAGGCUUAACACAUGCAAGUCGAGCGGGCACUUUCGGGUGUCAGCGGCGGACGGGUGCGUAACGCGGGGGAACGUGCCCUCUGGUUCGGAAUAACUCAGGGAAACUUGAGCUAAUACCGGAUACGCCCUUUUGGGGAAAGGCUUGCUGCCGGAGGAUCGGCCCGCGUCUGAUUAGCUAGUUGGUGAGGUAACGGCUCACCAAGGCGACGAUCAGUAGCUGGUCUGAGAGGAUGAUCAGCCACACUGGGACUGAGACACGGCCCAGAAUCCUACGGGAGGCAGCAGUGGGGAAUAUUGGACAAUGGGCGCAAGCCUGAUCCAGCCAUGCCGCGUGAGUGAUCAAGGCCUUAGGGUUGUAAAGCUCUUUUAUCCGGGACGAUAAUGACGGUACCGGAGGAAUAAGCCCCGGCUAACUUCGUG
This 435-nucleotide ribosomal RNA is filed under the name uncultured bacterium. RNAcentral describes it as "partial 16S ribosomal RNA". It matches the Rfam family "Bacterial small subunit ribosomal RNA", at positions 29 to 507 of the family's 1533-position model. The record is from RNAcentral.